UACAGAGGGGGCAAGCGUUGUCCGGAAUUAUUGGGCGUAAAGAGCUCGUAGGCGGUCUGUCACGUCGGCUGUGAAAACCCGAGGCUCAACCUCGGGCCUGCAGUCGAUACGGGCAGACUAGAGUGCGGUAGAGGGUAGUGGAAUUCCCGGUGUAGCGGUGAAAUGCGUAGAGAUCGGGAGGAACACCAGUGGCGAAGGCGGCUACCUGGACCAGCACUGACACUGAGGCACGAAAGCGUGGGGAGCAAACAGG
This 253-nucleotide ribosomal RNA is filed under the name uncultured bacterium. RNAcentral's name for it is "partial 16S ribosomal RNA". It matches the Rfam family "Bacterial small subunit ribosomal RNA", at positions 524 to 776 of the family's 1533-position model. The record is from RNAcentral.